CCCAGGGCCCAUCACCUACAAGGAGAAUGAAGACCCAUGACUUGGCCUAUAAGGUCUUCAAUCAUCUGACCGACCACCUGAUGAAGAGUUUCAGCUAUACUUGGAAGGUCAGAUUGAGGCCAGAUCCUGAUGGACCUUGAAUGCCGGGUUGAGGAGCUUAGAUGGAAUCCUUCAGAUUUCUGGAACUGCGAGGAGGCAUCUUCAUUUAUGUGCUCCAGUGAAGCCUGGCUCCAAGCAAGUCUCAUCACCCCUGACCGUGAAGAUGCAGGUUGUAACCUGAACCAUAUUGGAGAGUUUCUUUUGGGAUGACUGAAGGCUGGAGAGAAUCUGAAUUUACCUUCCUUCUAAAGAAAGGCAAUCUUUAAAGGCAGUAAGGUGUGACGCUCCAGACUGGCAGCUUGGCAAGGCAGAGCCCAUGGAUACCAGCACACGGGAAUCUGGACCGCUCGCUCUGACAGCAGUCAGCACUGGGAACAAAAGGAAUGGAGGGGAAAAAAAGCGCAAAUGUAUUUUUACAUAUUGUAGGCAUAUGGCCACAAGACCAGCAGAAAUAUAUUUAAUUACCAAUUGCGCACAUUGAAGAGAAAAACACCGGGAAGGAAAAAAAAAAAAACAAAACCUGUGUACACAGCAAUGUUAUUCUACUUUAACUUUUCACCUCAUUUUUUGUUUGUUUGUUUGUUUUCUUUUCUUUCUUUUUUUUUUACCUGAAGAUGAAAAGGAUGUGGUUUAGAAUCGAGAAGGGUUAUCUACUAGAAUCCCAUUGAAGGUGCUAUGGGUCUUUGACAUGCCUUUCCAAAUAGUGUAACAUUAAUUUUUCUUUUAAUUAUUUUAAUUAUAAAAUAAUUUUUCAAAGGUAUUUGGGGGGGUCAGGGGGACCUACCUGAAACAGAACCAUUAGACAAUCCCACCGUCCCGUGAAAACUGUAUUUCUGAUGUUAAACAUUUGUUUAGGCCUUGACAAUGAACAAAUCCCCCUUGGAAGUUUUAUAGUUUUGUUCUUCCUUAUGAAAUCGGAACAGUUCAGCCCACAUUAAUUGCCUGCUUCCUAUCUGUCAGGCACUGUGCUAGCCAGUGGAGGGGCAGAGAUGAACCAUAUAUAUUCCCUGCGCUCAAGAAGCUCAUAGUCUAAGAUGGGAGACAGACACAGGUAUCUAUAAUUAUAAUAUUAAAUUAUUAAAAUUAUAAUAAAAAUUAAAAGUAUAAUUAUAGUACACAUAAUAAAAUAUGAAUAUUGUAAUGAGGUAGGUAUAUUGAUACAGGGAUCAGAGAGAAUAGACUUUGGGGGA
This 1289-nucleotide long non-coding RNA is filed under the name Sus scrofa (pig). Its description in RNAcentral is "lncRNA (ENSSSCG00005022127.1)". Lineage: Eukaryota; Metazoa; Chordata; Mammalia; Artiodactyla; Suidae. The record is from RNAcentral.